UUGAACUGAAGAGUUUGAUCAUGGCUCAGAUUGAACGUUGGCGGCAGGCCUAACACAUGCAAGUCGAACGAGAAAGCGCCUUCGGGCGCGAGUAAAGUGGCGGACGGGUGAGUAACGCGUAGGAAUCUACCCAGCGGUGGGGGACAACUCGGGGAAACUCGAGCUAAUACCGCAUGACAUCCCAACUCUUCGGAGGCGGGAUCAAAGGGGGCCUCUCCUUGGAAGCUCCCGCCGUUGGAGGAGCCUGCGUUGGAUUAGCUUGUUGGUGGGGUAACGGCCCACCAAGGCGACGAUCCAUAGCUGGUCUGAGAGGAUGAUCAGCCACACUGGAACUGAGACACGGUCCAGACUCCUACGGGAGGCAGCAGUGGGGAAUCUUGGGCAAUGGGCGCAAGCCUGACCCAGCCAUGCCGCGUGUGCGAAGAAGGCUCUAGGGUUGUAAAGCACUUUCAGUGGUGAAGAAAAUCUCGGGGUUAAUACCCCCGGGUCUUGACGUUAGCCACAGAAGAAGCACCGGCUAACUCCGUGCCAGCAGCCGCGGUAAUACGGAGGGUGCGAACGUUAAUCGGAAUUACUGGGCGUAAAGCGCGCGUAGGCGGUUCGGUAAGUGGGAUGUGAAAGCCCCGGGCUCAACCUGGGAACUGCAUUCCAAACUGCCGAACUGGAGUGUGGUAGAGGGAGGUAGAAUUUCCUGUGUAGCGGUGGAAUGCGUAGAUAUAGGAAGGAAUACCGAUGGCGAAGGCAGCCUCCUGGACCAAUACUGACGCUGAGGCGCGAAAGCGUGGGUAGCAAACAGGAUUAGAUACCCUGGUAGUCCACGCCGUAAA
This 827-nucleotide ribosomal RNA is filed under the name Gammaproteobacteria bacterium. RNAcentral describes it as "bacterial SSU rRNA". It matches the Rfam family "Bacterial small subunit ribosomal RNA", at positions 1 to 806 of the family's 1533-position model. The record is from RNAcentral. Lineage: Bacteria; Pseudomonadati; Pseudomonadota; Gammaproteobacteria.